This is a long non-coding RNA of Tachysurus fulvidraco (yellow catfish), 1754 nucleotides long. RefSeq lists it as uncharacterized. NCBI's taxonomy places the organism in Eukaryota, Metazoa, Chordata, Actinopteri, Siluriformes, Bagridae. The transcript has 3 exons. The record is from RefSeq and is a predicted model, not a curated record.
ACGAGGUGGCUGAAAAACGUGCGCACAUCGCCACAGUGUUCAGGGAAAAAUAGCAUCGAAACCCCCUAACUGAGUUAACGGCAUAAAAGGACACCUAGCAGAUAAGAGACUGCAGAACAAAAUAAACCGGAAUGAACUCUGAGGAGCGCAUGGUUCCCGCAUGCGUGCGUUCCCGCGUGCGUGCGUUCCCGCGUGCGUGCGUUCCCGCGUGCGUGCGUUCCCGCGUGCGUGCGUUCCCGCGACAGACAAAGAAUAUUGCAAGUUCUCUUCAUCUGAGUGCUUAACGGUUUGCAACUCGAAUGGUCGUGUACAGUGUGUGAGCACCGGGGAAACUAAGGCUACGAAAUUCGGCAGGAGAGACCUGAGGCCAGGUGGAGACUUCUACUGCAUCUUGGCCUCAUUUACAUCGUUGGGUGGUGGGCGCUUCACUUUUGAGUUUCCAUGUUCCGUUGGAUUUCGUUAGUAAUACAGUAUAAAGUGUUCAUACAUUCACAUGAGCUCCAACUAAGUGCACCAACGAGACAUUUAAAUCCCAGCUGGGUAACAUUACGUUUGUGGGGUUUUGGGUUGUUUUAUUUACACUUGUUUGAGAGAAUAAAUGUUUGUUUAUUGGUUGGUGAAAGGCCUGUUGUGUAACUUUUUUGAGGUUUAUGUUAUUGUGUUGUACGAAUGCUUUUACUAUUAGGUGGUUAUUAUUUUUGAGUGAUAGAAGAGAACAAUUAAAGAAACACUGAAGUCUGAAGCCCGAGGUUAAAUACAGCAGUUUGGGUAACUUUGGUAGUACACAUUAUACCUUUUUAAUAAAUUAGUAAAUUAUAUGUGCCUCUCACGUAUAAAGUUAUUUCCCUAGACAGAUUAGAGCCAGUUAAUCAGUGAGAGGGCUACACAGCAAUACAGUCCCAAAGCACGAGACUACCACCACCAUGUAGUGACGUGACGUACGGCGACCCAUACUCAGAAUUUGUUCUCUGCAUUUAACCCAUCCAAAGUGCAUACACACAGCAGUGAACAAACACACACACGGAGCAGUGGGCAGCCAUUUAUGCUGCGGCACCCAGGGAGCAGUUGGGGGGGUUCGGUGCCUUGCUCAAGGGCACCUCAGUAGUGGCCGUCCGGAGACUCGAACCCACUCUAACCAUCAGGCCAAGACUGCCCCCGUGUUUCACAGAAGAAUCUGUCUGACUAUCGAUUUGGGGAGUCCAAACACUUUUGAGAUAAUUUUAUAACCUUUUUUGUAACCUCAACCUUCUCGCUGGAUUUUGCCAUGAUCCACUUCAACAGACACGCGUCAUGAACAUCAGACUUUGAUGCUAAUCCUAGAGGUUCACAUACUUUUGCCACUCACAGAUAUCUAAUAUUGGAACACUUUCCUAAAUAAAGAAAUGACCAAUUAUAAUAUUUUUGGCUCACUUGUCUGACUAGGACUUCUUCACUUUGUCUACUUUUAGUGUGAAAAUCUGAUGUUUUGGGUCAUGUUUAUGCAGAAAUAUACAAAUUUAAAGAGUUCACAAACUUUCAAGUGACGCUGUAUACAGUAUGAUUGUGAAAUAUAGUUGUGUGUGUGUCUGUGUGCUGAAUUCUGCUUGUUUAUUAGCUUCGACUACAUGUUAUGGCACACUUCCUAUCAGCCCCUGGGAAUCACAUGUUCGCUGAACACUCAUACUCGUUUCCUGUCUAAGUUACAGAUUCUGUCUCAUUCUUUGUGUUUCUGUAUCACUCAUUCUCACUCAUCUUCUACCGCUUAUCUGAACUUC